RNAcentral lists this ribosomal RNA (290 nucleotides) under uncultured bacterium. RNAcentral's name for it is "partial 16S ribosomal RNA". It matches the Rfam family "Bacterial small subunit ribosomal RNA", at positions 773 to 1060 of the family's 1533-position model. The record is from RNAcentral.
GUGGAUUAGAUACCCGAGUAGUCCACGCCGUAAACGAUGAGUACUAGGUGUUGGAGGUAUCGACCCCUUCAGUGCCGAAGCCAACGCGAUAAGUACUCCGCCUGGGGACUACGGCCGCAAGGCUAAAACUCAAAGGAAUUGACGGGGGCCCGCACAAGCAGCGGAGCGUGUGGUUUAAUUCGAUGAUACGCGAAGAACCUCACCCAGGCUUGACAUGCACGUGGUACCGAUCCGAAAGGUGAGGGACCCUUCGGGGAGCGUGCACAGGUGUUGCACGGUUGUCGACAACU